This 431-nucleotide ribosomal RNA is filed under the name uncultured bacterium. RNAcentral describes it as "bacterial SSU rRNA". It matches the Rfam family "Bacterial small subunit ribosomal RNA", at positions 355 to 776 of the family's 1533-position model. The record is from RNAcentral.
UGGGGAAUAUUGCGCAAUGGGCGAAAGCCUGACGCAGCGACGCCGCGUGAGCGAUGAAGGCCUUCGGGUCGUAAAGCUCUGUCAGAGGGGACGAAACACCUCGGUGACUAAUACCACCGAGGCUUGACGGUACCCUCAGAGGAAGCACCGGCUAACUCCGUGCCAGCAGCCGCGGUAAUACGGAGGGUGCUAGCGUUGUUCGGAAUUACUGGGCGUAAAGCGCUCGUAGGCGGUCUGUGUAGUCUGGUGUGAAAUCCCUCGGCUUAACCGAGGAAGUGCGCUGGAAACCAGCAGGCUUGAGUACGGUAGGGGAUCGUGGAAUUCCUGGUGUAGCGGUGAAAUGCGUAGAUAUCAGGAAGAACACCGGUGGCGAAGGCGACGAUCUGGGCCGUAACUGACGCUUAGGAGCGAAAGCGUGGGUAGCAAACAGG